UUGUCCCUGCUGUGUGCGUAUAAACCCAUUGUUUUGAUCCAACACUUUCACAUUGGGAGCUCAGACUCUGACCGCUGCGUGAAAGCCCUGCUUGUUUCGGGGACUCAUUAUACGGGAAGGCGCGCACCCACCUGCUUAGGCAGGAUUCAAAACACGGGUCAAACGGCAUGGCGGGGAUUUU
Molecule: non-coding RNA, 181 nt
Filed under: Negativicutes bacterium
Lineage: Bacteria; Bacillati; Bacillota; Negativicutes
Description: 6S RNA
Rfam family: 6S / SsrS RNA
About the family: E. coli 6S RNA was the first non coding RNA to be sequenced, but its function was unknown until recently. It consists of 184 nucleotides that fold into an extended hairpin structure with a large single-stranded internal bulge. The 6S RNA specifically associates with RNA polymerase holoenzyme containing the sigma70 specificity factor.
Source: RNAcentral